GGGGGCCCCGCGUAGACCUGGAGUGGACACGCCCCUCCUUCCCUUCAUGAUUCGUUUGUAGCGCAGUGGCGAUGGAUGAUGAGGAUGGGAGAUGCUUACUAGACGUGAUUUGUGACCCACAGGCCCUCAAUGACUUCUUGCAUGGAUCCGAGAAGCUUGACAGUGAUGACCUCCUGGAUAAUCCCGGGGAGGCCCAAAGUGCCUUCUAUGAAGGUCCUGGGGUAAGUGCCGUGGCUCCCGAUCAUUGCCUGAGCUGUUGGGGCUGC
RNAcentral lists this long non-coding RNA (266 nucleotides) under Pan troglodytes (chimpanzee). RNAcentral describes it as "long non-coding RNA NONPTRT008167". Lineage: Eukaryota; Metazoa; Chordata; Mammalia; Primates; Hominidae. The record is from RNAcentral.